GUGCACUGGAGGCCUGGGGAAGAGCUUCAGGAAGGACCCAUGACAAGAGUGCUGCUCCUACCACUGUUGAGGUCCCAACGUGUCUCAGGCUUGUUGACAUUUCAGCUGCCGUGCAACUCGCCAGCUUCUGCUGCCUUCGAGUGUUGCUGUCACUGCUGAGGAAGCCUGCAUCAGCCCAGAGUCGUGCUGGCCUCCUCUCUGCCUAGCAAGGUGAUGCCUGGUCUGCAGUCCAACACUCAGGACCCCCGAAAGCACAGAGUGUCAGCAUUCACCUCCCACUUUUCUAUGCGGUGUCAGCCCAUCUACGUUGCCAUAAAGGAGUAUCUGAGACUGAAUGAUUGAUGAAGAAUAGAGGUUUGUUUUGGCUUAUGG
RNAcentral lists this long non-coding RNA (372 nucleotides) under Callithrix jacchus (white-tufted-ear marmoset). RNAcentral describes it as "lncRNA (ENSCJAG00000052244.2)". Lineage: Eukaryota; Metazoa; Chordata; Mammalia; Primates; Cebidae. The record is from RNAcentral.